This 433-nucleotide ribosomal RNA is filed under the name uncultured bacterium. Its description in RNAcentral is "partial 16S ribosomal RNA". It matches the Rfam family "Bacterial small subunit ribosomal RNA", at positions 29 to 507 of the family's 1533-position model. The record is from RNAcentral.
AACGAACGCUGGCGGCAUGCCUAAUACAUGCAAGUCGAACGAGAUCUUCGGAUCUAGUGGCGCACGGGUGCGUAACGCGUGGGAAUCUGCCCUUGGGUUCGGAAUAACUUCUGGAAACGGAAGCUAAUACCGGAUGAUGACGUAAGUCCAAAGAUUUAUCGACCAAGGAUGAGCCCGCGUGGGCUUAGGUAGUUGGUGGGGUAAAGGCACACCAAGCCGACGAUCCUUAGCUGGUCUGAGAGGAUGAUCAGCCACACUGGGACGGAGACACGGCCCAGACUACUGGGGGAGGGGGCAGAGGGGAAUAUUGGAAAAUGGGCGAAAUCAUGAACCACCUAUGCCGGGUGAGUGAUGAAGGUCUGAGGGUAGAAAAGCUCUUUUACCCGCCGUGAUACUGACGGUACCGGAAGAAUAAGCGCCGGCUAACUUCGUG